GACGAACGCUGGCGGCGCGCCUAACACAUGCAAGUCGAACGAGCGAGAGAGAGCUUGCUUUCUCGAGCGAGUGGCGAACGGGUGAGUAACGCGUGAGGAACCUGCCUCAAAGAGGGGGACAACAGUUGGAAACGACUGCUAAUACCGCAUAAGCCCACGGUGCCGCAUGGCACAGAGGGAAAAGGAGCAAUCCGCUUUGAGAUGGCCUCGCGUCCGAUUAGCUAGUUGGUGAGGUAAUGGCCCACCAAGGCGACGAUCGGUAGCCGGACUGAGAGGUUGAACGGCCACAUUGGGACUGAGACACGGCCCAGACUCCUACGGGAGGCAGCAGUGGGGAAUAUUGCACAAUGGGGGAAACCCUGGUGCAGCGACGCCGCGUGGAGGAAGAAGGUCUUCGGAUUGUAAACUCCUGUUGUUGGGGAAGAUAAUGACGGUACCCAACAAGGAAGUGACGGCUAACUACGU
RNAcentral lists this ribosomal RNA (465 nucleotides) under uncultured bacterium. Its description in RNAcentral is "partial 16S ribosomal RNA". It matches the Rfam family "Bacterial small subunit ribosomal RNA", at positions 28 to 506 of the family's 1533-position model. The record is from RNAcentral.